AUGGCCAGAAGGUACUUAGAGAAGAGUGUGCAUCAGUAUGAAGUCUUGUCCUACUCUUCUAACGAAGGAUCAGGUACAAGAAGCAGCAAAGUACAUUAAAGGCCGACAAGUACAGUAGUAGUUACAUUACCAAUACGAAUUAAUCUUUGACUUGAAACUCUGAAUCUUUUCUAAAGAUGAAUCGACGGUAUUGCAAUUUAUCUCUGCCUUUUUCCAAUGGAUGCAUGUCCAUCCCCUGUUUCUCAAUUGUGUGUUUCCUUACUUAGUCAAGAAACAUCUUAAUUUGAUGGCAGGUAUGCUGAAGAAUAUUUGAAUAUAUAAAUGCUUCCUUCUUUUGAAUAACCCGGUUCCCUUUUGCUAGAUCAAGAAACAUCUUAAUUUCUCAGCCUCCAUGGACACGGCCGAGAUCCUUGACCAUUGCUCAUCGGGACAUGUGCCAUCUAGCAACAAAAAACAGUGUUUAGCUGUUCAGGUAAACCAGAAAAUCAUGUAAUUGCAUCACACAGUAGACUGUGAAUCCCAGGCAGAAUGAUCUUUGAUGUUAUGAUGGACCCACGUGAUGUACUGCUACUAAGUGAAUUUUCGGUCAGAGUAGCUCUAAUAUCAUGCAGCUCCGGUCAGAGUUUUCCGGUGCAGUACUUGCUAGGGAAUACUUACCUUGCCAUUUGGUGUGAUUAUGUGCUCUUAUGGGGCUGGUUUUGUACCGAGCCAUUACUAUUAUAUGUGUUUUGCUUCCUCCUGCUUUCCUUUCA
This 752-nucleotide long non-coding RNA is filed under the name Triticum aestivum (bread wheat). RNAcentral's name for it is "long non-coding RNA (TAES_LNC004630)". The record is from RNAcentral. Lineage: Eukaryota; Viridiplantae; Streptophyta; Magnoliopsida; Poales; Poaceae.